This 73-nucleotide transfer RNA is filed under the name Enterobacteriaceae endosymbiont of Donacia cincticornis. RNAcentral's name for it is "tRNA-Thr". It matches the Rfam family "tRNA". Rfam says of the family: Transfer RNA (tRNA) molecules are approximately 80 nucleotides in length. The record is from RNAcentral. Lineage: Bacteria; Pseudomonadati; Pseudomonadota; Gammaproteobacteria; Enterobacterales; Enterobacteriaceae.
GCCGGCUUAGCUCAGAUGGUAGAGCAACUGACUUGUAAUCAGUAGGUCACCAGUUCAAUUCCGGUAGCCGGCA